GACGAACGCUGGCGGCGUGCUUAACACAUGCAGGUCGAGCGGAAAGGCCUGCUUUCCCUUGUGGAUUGCGGGUGCUCGAGUGGCGAACGGGUGAGUAACACGUGAGUGAUCUGCCCCCAACUUGGGUAUAAGCCUGGGAAACUGGGUCUAAUUCCCGAUAGGACUGCAGGGUGGUGCCUGUGGUGGAAAACGAUUUUCUAGUGGUUGGGGAUGAGCUCGCGGCCUAUCAGCUUGUUGGUGGGGUAAUGGCCUACCAAGGCGGCGACGGGUAGCCGGCCUGAGAGGGUGGACGGCCACAUUGGGACUGAGAUACGGCCCAGACUCCUACGGGAGGCAGCAGUGGGGAAUAUUGCACAAUGGGCGGAAGCCUGAUGCAGCGACGCCGCGUGGGGGAUGACGGCCUUCGGGUUGUAAACUCCUUUCGACCGCGAGGAAGCCACCUGGUUGGAAGGGUGGUGACGGUAGUGGUAGAAGAAGCACCGGCUAACUACGUG
This 494-nucleotide ribosomal RNA is filed under the name uncultured bacterium. Its description in RNAcentral is "partial 16S ribosomal RNA". It matches the Rfam family "Bacterial small subunit ribosomal RNA", at positions 28 to 507 of the family's 1533-position model. The record is from RNAcentral.